CAACUUGUAACGUCCAAGAUGCGUCUCUUUCCUUAUUUGGGGGUGAUGCCUCAAAAGGGGAAAGGGGCGCAUCUAAGCGUUUCGUGACAAUGAUUAACAUUGCAAUUCAUACAAUAGGGAUGAGUAAUAAGAUUUGGCUUACACUCGCCACAAAUUUAAGUGCAAGACUCACACAACAUUUAUUCAAAUCAUUUAGAAGAUAGGGCCCGACUACGGACAAGAUAAACGACAAAAGCAAUGGUCCUCUCUCACUAAGGCCACGAUCACGACCAACGACCUCUAGUCAUCGGGUUAGGUCACAUACAUCCGGCCACUGUCCUCGUCAAACUCCCACUUCAGCUGGGUUUCCUUGAAAGCAUUUUUAUCUGCUGCACCUGUACCUGUGGGGUGGUUGUAGUAACCUGUGAGCCACAAGGAUUCAGUGAUCUCAUGAACUUCGUAUCGAAUCUAGCUAGGUUGUUGGGUAAGGAUGGGGUAUGUGUUUGAGUUUGCAGCAACUUAAGCAUUUAUGGUGGCUAACUUAUGAAGAACAUGAGGUAAUUUAGUGGUCUAGCAAUGAUGGUCAUGACUAAGCAUAACCACUAAGUGAUCCGGAACACCAACAUACGUUAGUCAUAACCCCACCAUGUUCUCUGUCACAGAAGGAACUCUGAAGGAAACAAUCACGAUUACGCCCAUAGUUGGCAGGUUUUAAUUAACUUAAUUCAAGUUAUCUAGAACCGGAUGUUAACAAAGUUUCCAUGUUUACCACAUAACCGCGGGGAUGACUUUCUGAAAGAUUUAACCCUGCAGGGGUGCUCCAACUAAUCCUUCACAAAUUACCACAUGCCGCAUAGAAAUCCUCAAUCACGAAUCUCGCGAUCUCGUCGGACUCCUUAGUGGAAAACAUCGACUCUAAGAAAAACCCAAAGUCUCACCGGAAUCCCGAUGCACAAAAUCUAUCGUUAAACUAAGACAAGUCCAGCAAGACCACCCGACAUGGCAACGACCUCGAUAAGAGCUGCGUAUCUCAGUCCGAGGACACAUUGGAUAAGCACAGCGUAUGGUGGCCUGAUCGACAUCUCCCGGGUUGCCCCUGCAAACAGCUCUAGGUUGGACCAACACUCAUGAGGAGCACUGGCCCUGGGGUUGGUUAAGUUCUCUCAGGGUAGCUAUUCCCCAUGCUCUAAUUAUUAAGUAGUUAGGAAAUUUAACAAAAAAGUUGGGUCUUGCCAGACAAGCCUUCGACUAAAUGAUUUACCAAGGGGUCCCCAUAACAACCCCAAAUGUGUUAGGAGCGGUCAGUUAUGGAAUAAAAUACCGGUAGCCGAAACUAAGGCGGCAAAAGCGAACAAAUCACCUAGCAAAAGGCCAGGACUUCCGCCUUGUACCAAAUAUAUAGGUGAUUUAAUUAAAUAGAAUAUAAAUAAGACGAUAAUCAAAUUUUCCAUGUUAUCCAAUGGACCAGCUUGCACCUGCAACUAGAAAUUCUAUCAAGAUGGUUUAGCAAGCACUAACUUAGCCAACCAUUAUUUGCUAGGAGGUGAAGAGUUAGUGGUUUCAUGGCAAUGUUUGGAGGCUUAUUUAUUAGGUGGUAGGCAGCGAUUAGUAAUGAUGGAAACGAUUCAACUAGGCAUAACAAAGCUAGAAACGGUGUUAGGGUCACGAUCAUCUUGCCUGUGAAAUCUUCAGACUAGAACUGUUCUUCAUCUACCUGAACGUACUCAAUGGAAUUCUUGAACUUGUUCUCAGCAUCCGAUGCUACCCAAAAUAAAUAAACAGCCAACAAACACCAGCAAGUGAUAAUGCAAAAAGCAAAAGGAUGCACGUGUGGCAUGAAAGGAAGCAUGUCAUUUCUGUACUAGUCAUAUUUCAUGCAUUACCUGAGUUAUUAAUAUUCUGGACAGAACGUCAAGUUAACUUUUUUAUACAUGCAUUAUUAUGGAAGGAAUGGAUGCAUCAUGAUAAAACGGUGCAAAAGCAUAUGAAGAACGUCGUGUACCGAGUUACGAAACUACCGGAAACUACAAAACAAGAUACAGAAACCUACGGAGACAAAACAACAAUAAACCAGAUGCUAUGGGCAUCCACUUGGAAUUCCAAGGUUGCCACUGGACUAAGAAACAAAAUUCAGGUGGAAUGUUUCUAAAGAACAUGCAAAUCCAUCAAGCACAACUCACCCAGAGGUCAAAACAAAAUGGCUCACAAUUUGUCCACAAAUAGCAAAUUACCACUUUGCACAAAAGAAAUAAAGUAGCUAAAGCCAACCAAUGGCUUCAACCAAGAUAUUGAAUCAAUGCUAGAAAACAAUAUUACAACACCCAAUAUUUAUCUAAUGCACUAGGUGCAAGAAUCAAUGGCUACCAUGCUCCUAAACAUAGCAAAAAUCAUAACAUAUUCUGACUUGGUGAAAAUCACAGAUUUUCACUAGCGGUUUAUAACUGAAGCAUUUUGACAGAAACAAAAUAAGUACCUAUAGAAGACUUCAGGGCAUGAAAUUGAAAAGAGAUAUAGAGGAACACAAAUUCAAACAUUCACGAGUUUAUUGCUUGGGGUAAAACCCCACAGAAAACUUACUAGCAUCACAUCAACAGGGCAUCAAAAUAAUAGUAGAAUCUCGGACUCCAUUUACAACAGAAUAGCAACUUUGAAAAGUACAUCAACUAUGAUUCAAAGUCCUAAGAACAAACUUGUGGCACGAAUUUGUAGAGGUGUUCAACUACUACAGUCCAUGCCAUUGGUGUACCCACCAAAGAUCAACACAUCCAUGGGAACCAUGCCCACAACAAGAAAAGAAGAUAAUAGUUCCCACACUUAGAAAUUAUUCUAGCAAUGCAAACAACCAUAUUUUCUACACAUGUUAACAUCAAGGUAACCACUUAUCUAUAGGAGUAUCAUGCCAAACAAAAAUACCAGGCCCUCGAAUUCACAAAAUGCUAGAACUUUCAUGUUGGCACAAACUUCAAAGCAUGAACAAAUUAAAUACUAUAAAAAUGAUAAAAUGCCACCUCAUCACGAAAUGGCACUUUUGCAAACUUGCUCAAAAGUGAAAUCCAAUGCCAUCAUUGGAUUCCUUGGGUCUUUCUACCCCAAAAUCCUAUUCACACUAGUAUAAACACAAGUACAAAUCUACCAGAAAACGGAAAAGAAAAAAUCACUCCAAACUCUGUUUGACUUAUAAGUCACAUCACAGCCCUAAAUGGAAUAUGCAAGAUUUGGUAUUGCCCAUAUAUGAAAAUAUUCCAGAUAUGGAAUUAUCCACAGACAUAUAAAAAACACAAAUAUACUAAACAAAGCAAGGACCCACUGGUCAUAGACACCAGAGGCUCCCUAGUGUAUGACUUGUGGGCCACGUGGCCCACUGUCAGCCAUUGAGCUACAGUGCACAUGAAAAUACAAAGAAAAAAUAGAAGGAGGAGAGGGGACUCGAAUGCACAACCUCCGUGGUCACAACACAGCCUGGCUACCACUAGACUACGGUGGUGUAGUUGCUACUAUAGGGGAGUUAACAGGGAUACACUCUCUAGUCCCCUAGCACAUGAGAAGGAAAAAUCACAAAAGGGGGUUUUGCACGCAGGGGAUCGAACCUGUGACCUUGCAGCCACAUGCGCUUGCACUCUACUAGGUGGGCUACGAAUCCUUUGUUGAACAUUGGGGGAUGCGAUGAGGUUAACUUAACCAAGACCUUGCCCUGCUCCGACAUUGGUGCUCGCCGGCGGCAACGAGGCCACGGUGAGGCGCUACGCAACACUUCUAUUGGUUUGCAUGGCUACUACGCCUGGAUAUGCUACUCCUGCUGCUACUGCGAAGGCGCUGAUGCUGCUGCUAGGGCGCUACUGCAUCAACUGCUUGCCUUGCACGGAGACAGAACGGACGGCGGCAGCGACGACACAAGACGGUGAUGUGCUACACUAACAGGGGCAGAACAAAAGUGGGGCGGCGAUGAGACUUCUUACAAAGGGGCUUCUAGGCAAUGGAUCGGUCGAUGGCGAUGAUGGGGAUGACGAUGUGUUUAUGUUGUCGCCUCUGCUUGCAGGAGAUGAGGAAGAACGGGAUGGCGAAGACAGCUCAUUGGAGAGGGUCUCGGUGCAUCCUCUGUGUGGGAAUGGAACUGCCCGUCGCAGGCUCCGCUCCUGGCGUGUACGGAGGAGGUCCCUAGCGCGGAGGCAACGUCUAUCUCCUCUCGUCCAUGGAGAAGAGACCCUAUUUCCGCCGAAAUAGAGGAGGCGGGAGAGAGGAUAAGGAUGGCGGCGGUGUGGAGGAAGCCUAGAGAGGGG
RNAcentral lists this long non-coding RNA (4256 nucleotides) under Hordeum vulgare. Its description in RNAcentral is "long non-coding RNA (HVUL_LNC009588)". The record is from RNAcentral. Lineage: Eukaryota; Viridiplantae; Streptophyta; Magnoliopsida; Poales; Poaceae.